AUACUUACCUGGCAGGGGAGAUACCAUGAUCACGAAGGUGAUUUUCCCAGGGCAAGGCUUAUCCAUUGUUCUCUGGAUGUGCUGACCCCUGCGAUUUCCCCAAAUGUGGGAAACUCAAUUGCAUUAUUUGUGGUAGUGGGGGACUGUGUUCACGCUCUCCCCUU
Heterocephalus glaber (naked mole-rat) is the source of this 164-nucleotide small nuclear RNA. Its record names the gene U1. It matches the Rfam family "U1 spliceosomal RNA". From Rfam's summary of the family: U1 is a small nuclear RNA (snRNA) component of the spliceosome (involved in pre-mRNA splicing). Its 5' end forms complementary base pairs with the 5' splice junction, thus defining the 5' donor site of an intron. There are significant differences in sequence and secondary structure between metazoan and yeast U1 snRNAs, the latter being much longer (568 nucleotides as compared to 164 nucleotides in human). NCBI's taxonomy places the organism in Eukaryota, Metazoa, Chordata, Mammalia, Rodentia, Bathyergidae. The record is from Ensembl.